GUUGUUUUGUUGUGUGUGGACAGCUGAGAGUCAUUUCCUCAUCUUUAUUCCAAACGAAGCUGGACACUCCCUUUUCAUUUUUGAAAAGUAAUCUGUGUGAGAAGGCAGCCAGCAUGUUUACCCACUGGGCUUGGAGCCAGACUUCUUUCCCUGGUUCUUCCUCUCUCUGUUUCUCAAUCUCCCCUGCUCUAAGAUGGCCAGAUAUGAAAAGCUGCCAAUCGGGAUGCCAGAACAUCAAAGAGAUCGCUCAUGAGAGCACACAAAGUCCCAUUUGUUCAGCACUUGGACGGAGAUGCCAGCAGCUUCCAGGCAGAGGGAGAAUCGAAGGUUUGUCUUCACUUGACUUCUCGCUCACACCAUCUGGCUGAUGGAGAAUCCUUUCAUUUCUUCCCGUGGCUGGACCAAAGGGAGAAUGACUGUGAAUAGAAGUGCCUUUUCAACCUUCACUUUGAGUUCUAGCCACUUCAUUUGUAGUCUCUGCAGGAGGAAGAAGGAGACGGAAAGGGUAAAAGGACUUCUUUCUCAGCUGUCAUUCCACUGCAAAGCAAAGCAUCUUCCUGGAAGACACACACAAUGACUUCUGCUUGGCUACUCCAAGAGAGUCAAGAAAAUGAGUCUUUAGCUGAGUUCAUCAAGAGUUUACUGUGGUCUAUAAAACAAAUGAUCAAACUUCUGCUUUUUCGUUACAAAAAAAAAUAGUGAAAAGCAAAUCUGUAUCUCUUUCUUGAGACCCACUCUUCCCUAUCCCUGAACCUCCCACGUCCCUACCCCUUCUCCCCAAGCUGAGAAAUGGGACAGUAAUGCUCAGAUGGAAUGAGAGAUGGGCUAACGCUCAAAGAUACCUCAGAAAUGUGUACUUGGAAAUAAA
This 868-nucleotide long non-coding RNA is filed under the name Homo sapiens (human). RNAcentral describes it as "HSALNT0119237". The record is from RNAcentral. Lineage: Eukaryota; Metazoa; Chordata; Mammalia; Primates; Hominidae.